RNAcentral lists this unclassified non-coding RNA (150 nucleotides) under Oryza sativa (Asian cultivated rice). Its description in RNAcentral is "partial microRNA MIR440b-31 precursor". Lineage: Eukaryota; Viridiplantae; Streptophyta; Magnoliopsida; Poales; Poaceae. The record is from RNAcentral.
AACAAUUUUACGGUUCUUGAGGAGGUACCAUGAGGUACCACUUUUUCUAUUAUAAAUUUGGUACCUCUUGGUACCUAGGUACCAUGAGGUACCAAAUUUUACACUAAAUUUUUGAUACCUCAUGGUAUCUACUCAAGUACCGUAGAAUUA